AACAGCUGGAAACGGCUGCUAAUACCGAAUGCGUUCUUUUUGUCGCAUGGCAGAGAGAAGAAAGGGAGGCUCUUCGGAGCUUUCGCUGAAGGAGGGGCUUGCGUCUGAUUAGCUAGUUGGAGGGGUAACGGCCCACCAAGGCGACGAUCAGUAGCCGGUCUGAGAGGAUGAACGGCCACAUUGGGACUGAGACACGGCCCAGACUCCUACGGGAGGCAGCAGUGGGGAAUCUUCCGCAAUGGGGGGAACCCUGAUGCAGCCAUGCCGCGUGUGUGAAGAAGGCCUUCUGGUUGUAAAGCACUUUCAGAGGGGAGGAAAAUGACGUUACCCUCAGAAGAAGCACCGGCUAACU
RNAcentral lists this ribosomal RNA (352 nucleotides) under Acinetobacter soli. Its description in RNAcentral is "bacterial SSU rRNA". It matches the Rfam family "Bacterial small subunit ribosomal RNA", at positions 145 to 502 of the family's 1533-position model. The record is from RNAcentral. Lineage: Bacteria; Pseudomonadati; Pseudomonadota; Gammaproteobacteria; Moraxellales; Moraxellaceae.